GCCCCGGUAGCUCAGCCCGGUAGAGCGGCGGCCUCGUAAGCCGCAGGUCCCGGGUUCAAAUCCCGGCCGGGGCUCCA
This 77-nucleotide transfer RNA is filed under the name Candidatus Geothermarchaeota archaeon ex4572_27. Its description in RNAcentral is "tRNA-Thr". It matches the Rfam family "tRNA". From Rfam's summary of the family: Transfer RNA (tRNA) molecules are approximately 80 nucleotides in length. Lineage: Archaea; Thermoproteati; Candidatus Geothermarchaeota. The record is from RNAcentral.